Long non-coding RNA from Dermacentor silvarum, 322 nucleotides. RefSeq lists it as uncharacterized. The transcript is spliced from 2 exons. Lineage: Eukaryota; Metazoa; Arthropoda; Arachnida; Ixodida; Ixodidae. The record is from RefSeq and is a predicted model, not a curated record.
GGUGGCACUGCGAUUUAUUGAAAUGGAAUGCCCACAAAUACAGUUUCAAUUAAACAAAGUGUGGCAAGUUGAGGACGAAUCUCUUUUUGGGAAAAAAGUCUGCGGUAUACCUGCACCUAUACAAGAACACGGCGAGGACGACACCGUCUGCCGCUUUGAUGCUGUAGAGACAUUCAACAAGACCAGAGACUAUGUAAGCCAAUGUGUUACUGCAGAGUGCGACAUUGUUUACCAUUUGACCAGGUACGUGCACUUUCUAAGAACAUCUUCAUGUGUUUAUUGUCUUUUUCAGAAAGUUUUCAUUUUUCUGUCACUUAGCCGU